This 398-nucleotide long non-coding RNA is filed under the name Nicotiana benthamiana. Its description in RNAcentral is "long non-coding RNA (NBEN_LNC040946)". The record is from RNAcentral. Lineage: Eukaryota; Viridiplantae; Streptophyta; Magnoliopsida; Solanales; Solanaceae.
AAAUGUAGCUCAAAGUAACAAUAUAAAACAAGAAGAUAAGUAGAAGAAGAGAUAACUUUCUUAUUUCAUCAAGUGUUCAAAUGUAUUUCAUCUCAUUUUCAUGCCUCUACUUAUACUAUUACAUAUGAAGGUUACAAAAUAAUUGUCUUAAACAUGACAUUAGCAAUUGAGAUCGUAGGAAAAAAAUCAUGGAAAAAAGUUAUCGAGCCGUGAAAGUUACAAUCAUAAUAAGAAUGAGCAGUCGGAGGUUAUUCAUAUUAUGAAUAAAGAUAAUGAGAGUAAUGGACAUUCACAUUAGCUAUAUAUUUUACAACAACCAAAGGUUUUCCUUUAUUUCUUAUGCUUUAUGCCAAUCAAAUACUUUCACGUAAAUUGAGAAGGAUUAUAACCCCAAGUUU